This 406-nucleotide ribosomal RNA is filed under the name uncultured bacterium. Its description in RNAcentral is "partial 16S ribosomal RNA". It matches the Rfam family "Bacterial small subunit ribosomal RNA", at positions 29 to 526 of the family's 1533-position model. The record is from RNAcentral.
AUUGAACGCUGGCGGCAGGCCUAACACAUGCAAGUCGAACGAGUGGCGGACGGGUGAGUAAUGUCUGGGAAACUGCCCGAUGGAGGGGGAUAACUACUGGAAACGGUAGCUAAUACCGCAUACCAUCGGAUGUGCCCAGGUGGGAUUAGGUAGUGGGUGGGGUAACGGCUCACCAAGGCGACGAUCCCUAGCUGGUCUGAGAGGAUGACCAGCCAAACUGGAACGGAGACACGGUCCAGACUCCUACGGGAGGCAGCAGUGGGGAAUAUUGCACAAUGGGGGCAAUCCUGAUGCAGCCAUGCCGCGUGGAUGAGGAAGGCGUUCGGGUUGUAAAGUACUUUCAGCGAGGAGGCGUUACUGGCAGAAGAAGCACCGGCUAACUCCGUGCCAGCCGCCGCGGUAAUUC